AUGCGUCGUGCUAUGAUGCAGUCGAACGAGUGUCUGAUUAUGUGAAAGGGUGCUUGCAUCUUGGAUUUAAUUGUGGAACGAGUGGCGGACGGGUGAGUAACACGUGGGUAACCUGCCCUUAAGUGGGGGAUAACAUUUGGAAACAGAUGCUAAUACCGCAUAAAUCCAAGAACCGCAUGGUUCUUGGCUGAAAGAUGGCGUAAGCUAUCGCUUUUGGAUGGACCCGCGGCGUAUUAGCUAGUUGGUGAGGUAACGGCUCACCAAGGCAAUGAUACGUAGCCGAACUGAGAGGUUGAUCGGCCACAUUGGGACUGAGACACGGCCCAAACUCCUACGGGAGGCAGCAGUAGGGAAUCUUCCACAAUGGACGCAAGUCUGAUGGAGCAACGCCGCGUGAGUGAAGAAGGCUUUCGGGUCGUAAAACUCUGUUGUUGGAGAAGAAUGGUCGGCAGAGUAACUGUUGUCGGCGUGACGGUAUCCAACCAGAAAGCCACGGCUAACUACGUGCCAGCAGCCGCGGUAAUACGUAGGUGGCAAGCGUUAUCCGGAUUUAUUGGGCGUAAAGCGAGCGCAGGCGGUUUUUUAAGUCUGAUGUGAAAGCCCUCGGCUUAACCGAGGAAGUGCAUCGGAAACUGGAAAACUUGAGUGCAGAAGAGGACAGUGGAACUCCAUGUGUAGCGGUGAAAUGCGUAGAUAUAUGGAAGAACACCAGUGGCGAAGGCGGCUGUCUGGUCUGUAACUGACGCUGAGGCUCGAAAGCAUGGGUAGCGAACAGGAUUAGAUACCCUGGUAGUCCAUGCCGUAAACGAUGAAUGCUAGGUGUUGGAGGGUUUCCGCCCUUCAGUGCCGCAGCUAACGCAUUAAGCAUUCCGCCUGGGGAGUACGACCGCAAGGUUGAAACUCAAAGGAAUUGACGGGGGCCCGCACAAGCGGUGGAGCAUGUGGUUUAAUUCGAAGCAACGCGAAGAACCUUACCAGGUCUUGACUUCUUUUGAUCACCUGAAAAAUCGGGUUUCCCCUUCGGGGGCAAAUGACAGGGGUGCAUGGUUGUCGCAGCUCGGGCCUG
Molecule: ribosomal RNA, 1066 nt
Filed under: Lacticaseibacillus rhamnosus
Lineage: Bacteria; Bacillati; Bacillota; Bacilli; Lactobacillales; Lactobacillaceae
Description: bacterial SSU rRNA
Rfam family: Bacterial small subunit ribosomal RNA
Source: RNAcentral